AUAUUUUGUGCUCUUUAUUCAAUUUUUAACAGUUAUAAUAAGGUUUUAUUUCAGUCAUCGUUAUUACAGAUUUCAUCGACCUUAAAUACAUUACAAUUUUGCAUGCAGUUUAAGACUAUCGGUAUCAAUCUGAUACUAAUACAAUGUUAUUAAGUUUCAUCAUAUCAUUUGAUUACAAUUUUAAUUUAGUACAUAUCUUACCGUUAUUUUAAAAAUUAAUAGGUAACUAUUACAUUUCAUUGCCAUUUUAACUUUCGUGUCAACAUCUGUUUAGACCUUAACAUAUUAUUUCUCCGAAUAUUUCUCUAUAUGUAUUUUAAACGUCUUUGGAAAUCAACAACAUUCGUAAUUAAAAAAAAAAAACUUACAAAUAAAUAUUUAUAAUUAUGAUUAAGCCCUAAAGCGUUAACAAAAUUACUAAAUAUAAUUUACUUCCGUCUAAUAUACAUAUCUAAUGACUUUUAAUAAUAAAUAAACAAAACAAAUAACCAAAAAGACGGUGAUGGAAUGUUUAAGG
RNAcentral lists this unclassified non-coding RNA (517 nucleotides) under Melitaea cinxia (Glanville fritillary). RNAcentral's name for it is "misc RNA ENSMCXG00005018457.1". The record is from RNAcentral. Lineage: Eukaryota; Metazoa; Arthropoda; Insecta; Lepidoptera; Nymphalidae.